Molecule: ribosomal RNA, 484 nt
Filed under: uncultured bacterium
Lineage: Bacteria
Description: partial 16S ribosomal RNA
Rfam family: Bacterial small subunit ribosomal RNA
Source: RNAcentral
AUUGAACGCUGGCGGCAGGCCUAACACAUGCAAGUCGAGCGGAUGAAGGGAGCUUGCUCCUGGAUUCAGCGGCGGACGGGUGAGUAAUGCCUAGGAAUCUGCCUGGUAGUGGGGGAUAACGUCCGGAAACGGGCGCUAAUACCGCAUACGUCCUGAGGGAGAAAGUGGGGGAUCUUCGGACCUCACGCUAUCAGAUGAGCCUAGGUCGGAUUAGCUAGUUGGUGGGGUAAAGGCCUACCAAGGCGACGAUCCGUAACUGGUCUGAGAGGAUGAUCAGUCACACUGGAACUGAGACACGGUCCAGACUCCUACGGGAGGCAGCAGUGGGGAAUAUUGGACAAAGGGCGAAAGCCUGAUCCAGCCAUGCCGCGUGUGUGAAGAAGGUCUUCGGAUUGUAAAGCACUUUAAGUUGGGAGGAAGGGCAGUAAGUUAAUCCCUUGCUGUUUUGACGUUACCAACAGAAUAAGACCCGGCUAACUUCGUG